UCCGUAGGCGGGUAAUUAAGUCAGAGGUGAAAUCCCACAGCUUAACCGUGGAACUGCCUUAGAUACUGGUUAUCUUGAGUUUUAGUGAAGUAGAUAGAAUGUGUAGUGUAGCGGUGAAAUGCAUAGAUAUUACACAGAAUACCGAUUGCGAAGGCAGUCUACUAACUAACAACUGACGCUAAUGGACGAAAGCGUGGGGAGCGAACAGGAUUAGAUACCCUGGUAGUCC
This 229-nucleotide ribosomal RNA is filed under the name uncultured bacterium. Its description in RNAcentral is "partial 16S ribosomal RNA". It matches the Rfam family "Bacterial small subunit ribosomal RNA", at positions 568 to 796 of the family's 1533-position model. The record is from RNAcentral.